Molecule: ribosomal RNA, 1130 nt
Filed under: Listeria monocytogenes
Lineage: Bacteria; Bacillati; Bacillota; Bacilli; Caryophanales; Listeriaceae
Description: partial 23S ribosomal RNA
Rfam family: Bacterial large subunit ribosomal RNA
Source: RNAcentral
GGAAAGAGCCCAAACCAAGAAGCUUGCUUCUUGGGGUUGUAGGACACUCUAUACGGAGUUACAAAAGAAAGUUAUAAAUGAAGCGGUCUGGAAAGGCCCGCCAAAGACGGUAACAGCCCGGUAGUUGAAAUGGCUUUCCCUCCAGAGUGGAUCCUGAGUACGGCGGAACACGUGAAAUUCCGUCGGAAUCCGGGAGGACCAUCUCCCAAGGCUAAAUACUCCCUAGUGACCGAUAGUGAACCAGUACCGUGAGGGAAAGGUGAAAAGCACCCCGGAAGGGGAGUGAAACAGUUCCUGAAACCGUGUGCCUACAAGUAGUUAGAGCCCGUUAAUGGGUGAUAGCGUGCCUUUUGUAGAAUGAACCGGCGAGUUACGAUUUGUUGCAAGGUUAAGCGGAAAAAGCGGAGCCGUAGCGAAAGCGAGUCUGAAUAGGGCGCAUAAGUAACAGGUCGUAGACCCGAAACCAGGUGAUCUACCCAUGUCCAGGAUGAAGGUAAGGUAAUACUUACUGGAGGUCCGAACCCACGCACGUUGAAAAGUGCGGGGAUGAGGUGUGGGUAGCGGAGAAAUUCCAAUCGAACUUGGAGAUAGCUGGUUCUCUCCGAAAUAGCUUUAGGGCUAGCCUCGAGGUAAAGAGUCAUGGAGGUAGAGCACUGUUUGGACUAGGGGCCCUUCUCGGGUUACCGAAUUCAGAUAAACUCCGAAUGCCAUGUACUUAUACUCGGGAGUCAGACUGCGAGUGAUAAGAUCCGUAGUCGAAAGGGAAACAGCCCAGACCACCAGUUAAGGUCCCCAAAUAUAUGUUAAGUGGAAAAGGAUGUGGGGUUGCUUAGACAACCAGGAUGUUGGCUUAGAAGCAGCCACCAUUGAAAGAGUGCGUAAUAGCUCACUGGUCGAGUGACCCCGCGCCGAAAAUGUACCGGGGCUAAACAUAUUACCGAAACUGUGGAUGAACCUCUUUAGAGGUUCGUGGUAGGAGAGCGUUCUAAGGGCGGUGAAGUCAGACCGGAAGGACUGGUGGAGCGCUUAGAAGUGAGAAUGCCGGUAUGAGUAGCGAAAGAAGGGUGAGAAUCCCUUCCACCGAAUAUCUAAGGUUUCCUGAGGAAGGCUCGUCCGCUCAGGGUUAGUCG